CUCUCCCAGAGCACUGGAGCAUGGUGCUGCUGAUGCAAAGUGGCUCUCUAUGGAAAUCUGCUGACUCACUCCAACAGGGACUUGGAUCAAUCUAAUGAUGAUGAUGAUGUUUAUCAGUUGAUGAAUGUUGCUGUUUAAAAAGGGAGCUUUGUAUUAGCCCUUCUGUCAUGUUCGGGUCAAUUCUGACCAGCAAUGUUUAUCGAUGAAUCAUUUUGUUUAUAUUAAUAUUAUGUCGUAAUAAUUUUAGAUUCCGAAUAAUAUUGGAAAGUUUAUGUUGUAGAGAAAAAGUUUACAUAUAAUGCCUCCUAAUCUUUAUCUAAAUGCUACAAAACAGAUGUGAACUUUCUACUCAUUCAUCUACCAGCUCACCCAGCGCUACUUAUCAUAUAGUCUUUGUACUGAAUGCAUCAUUUUUUCUCUACAGUAACAAAACAGUGAUCGGGGACGAUGUGGGGUUCAGUGUCCAAUGAUGAGGAUUAUGGAAAAUUCUGGGAUCAAACUGCUGAUCUUGCAGUUCAUCAAAAUCCACUCCACCAGCACAACCAUGUUCACCCAGUGGACUUUUUAAACGCAUUAUUUCUACUUUCUUCUCAGAAUAUUUGUUACAGAGUCAUUUAGUGGAUUAGGUUCAUCUUUAAUUUUAUCUAAAUCAGAUUUAUUUGGUUAUAUUUUAAAAGAAAACAAAGUCUUUGGGGAAAAUGAACAAAUGUCUAAAUAAAAACAUGCUGCAUUGUUUGUUCCAGAGUCAGAGAGCCGUGUCUCUGUACAGUCAGAGGUUUUUGUACGGCGGUUCAAUGAGUUUGUAUCACUGUGGUACACGUUCGGUGGAGGAAGCAGACUGGAUGUUAACUUGGGUCAAGUCCGUCCCACCGUGACGGUGCUGCCCCCCUCUAGUGAGGAGAUAAAGAAGGGCCAUGCCACACUUACAUGUCUGGCCAACAAGGGCUUCCCCUCAGACUGGAGUCUGUCCUGGAAGGUGGACGGCAGCAGCAGCAGCAGCUAUGAGGAGAGCAGGAGCCCCGGGGUGCUGCAGAAGGACGGCCACUACAGCUGGAGCAGCACCCUGAGGGUCCCUGCAGACCAGUGGAGGAACGUGGGCUCUGUGACCUGUGAGGCCACCCAGGGCUCCCAGACUCCACUCUCAGAGACACUGAGGAGAGACCAGUGUUCCCAGUACUGACCUGAUUCACUGGAAAUCUGAUCCUUGUUUUAUUUUGUUACAGCUCUUCUUCUUCAGUAUUAAACACUGUUCCUUUCUUCUAAGUUCUGAUUUACUUUAUUUUCACUUUAAUCUUUUUGUUGUUCAUGUCCUUAAGUUUUUCUUUGUUUUUUGUAACUGGGAUUUUAUAAGUUUAAUAAAAACCUUUUUGAUGAA
Molecule: long non-coding RNA, 1375 nt
Organism: Melanotaenia boesemani (Boeseman's rainbowfish)
Lineage: Eukaryota; Metazoa; Chordata; Actinopteri; Atheriniformes; Melanotaeniidae
Exons: 2
Source: RefSeq, a predicted model, not a curated record